RNAcentral lists this transfer RNA (77 nucleotides) under Candidatus Moranbacteria bacterium CG_4_9_14_3_um_filter_45_14. Its description in RNAcentral is "tRNA-Arg". It matches the Rfam family "tRNA". From Rfam's summary of the family: Transfer RNA (tRNA) molecules are approximately 80 nucleotides in length. Their secondary structure includes four short double-helical elements and three loops (D, anti-codon, and T loops). Further hydrogen bonds mediate the characteristic L-shaped molecular structure. tRNAs have two regions of fundamental functional importance: the anti-codon, which is responsible for specific mRNA codon recognition, and the 3' end, to which the tRNAs corresponding amino acid is attached (by aminoacyl-tRNA synthetases). tRNAs cope with the degeneracy of the genetic code in two manners: having more than one tRNA (with a specific anti-codon) for a particular amino acid; and 'wobble' base-pairing, i.e. permitting non-standard base-pairing at the 3rd anti-codon position. The record is from RNAcentral. Lineage: Bacteria; Candidatus Moraniibacteriota.
GCGCUCGUAGCUCAGUGGAUUAGAGCAUCUGGCUUCGAACCAGAGGGUCGGGGGUUCGAUCCCCUCCGAGCGCACCA